GAGCGGAGACGGGGAGCGAAAAAUCCGGGAUCCGGCGAGUCCGGGGCGCGCAUGCGCGCCCGCCGCGCUCCAUCCCAAACACACACACAUUUCCCCCGGACUUGGAAAGUCACCCAAAGCCGCCCCAAGUGCAGGACCAACAGACUCCGCCGAUUGAAGACAAAGAUCUCUUCCCCUUGCAGCUGCCCAAUCUCUGCCCGCAAUCAUUAGCCCCUCCUUGCCAAGGGGAAAAAGAAAAACCCCAGCAGGUUGGAAUGGACUUCGGACCCCGGCCCUUCUGGAUGCAAGGAUGAAGUGAUUUCGCCAGCCCUGAACCAACCGAGCGGUAAAGGAGUGACCCCGUAAGAGUUUGGGACCAAAACGAGGAGA
This 369-nucleotide long non-coding RNA is filed under the name Sarcophilus harrisii (Tasmanian devil). RNAcentral's name for it is "lncRNA (ENSSHAG00000022925.1)". The record is from RNAcentral. Lineage: Eukaryota; Metazoa; Chordata; Mammalia; Dasyuromorphia; Dasyuridae.